UAGAAUCACCAUGUGGCGAUGUGAC
Molecule: non-coding RNA, 25 nt
Filed under: Mus musculus (house mouse)
Lineage: Eukaryota; Metazoa; Chordata; Mammalia; Rodentia; Muridae
Source: RNAcentral